Salvia hispanica is the source of this 422-nucleotide non-coding RNA. The record is from RefSeq and is a predicted model, not a curated record. NCBI's taxonomy places the organism in Eukaryota, Viridiplantae, Streptophyta, Magnoliopsida, Lamiales, Lamiaceae.
CCAUGCAUAGAGUUAGAGAAAUAAGAAACUACCGAGGGAAAGAAAAAUAAAAAGGAAGGAGAGAAACAUUAUUCAUACAGGAGAAAUUUAUAGAACGAAGGAUGGAAAUUAGGGAUUCAAAUAACUGCAAUCAGGAUCGAGGGUAAUUUAAGAGACAGAAUCGGGAGUUGAUUUGAUUAUCUAUCAUUUUCAGGAAAAAAUAUCGCUGAUGUUUUGGUUGAUAUGAGUUUUAGAAACUCCACGUGUUAUCAGGGUUGGCGGCUGACGCAUUAUAGCAACCUUCUCCUCCUCAUCAUUUUGCAUGUAGACCAAUGUAUAACAUAUAGAGUGGAGAGAGCGUCUCAAUACAAUUCAAAAUGUUUUGAAAUAUGAAACAGAUUUAUGUUGAUGUUUGAGUUUAUAUUAUAUGGAUGUUUUAUGAA